Small nuclear RNA from Trichechus manatus latirostris (Florida manatee), 107 nucleotides. The record is from RefSeq and is a predicted model, not a curated record. NCBI's taxonomy places the organism in Eukaryota, Metazoa, Chordata, Mammalia, Sirenia, Trichechidae.
GUGCUCGCGUUGGCAGCACACAUACUAAAAUUGGAACGAUAUAGAGAAGAUUAGCAUGGCCCCUGUGUAAGGACAACACGCAAAUUCGUUAAGUGUUCCAUAUUUAA